CAGUCGCCGCGGUAAUACGGAGGGUGCAAGCGUUAUCCGGAUUUAUUGGGUUUAAAGGGUCCGUAGGCGGAUCUGUAAGUCAGUGGUGAAAUCUCACAGCUUAACUGUGAAACUGCCAUUGAUACUGCAGGUCUUGAGUAAAUUUGAAGUGGCUGGAAUAAGUAGUGUAUCGGUGAAAUGCAUAGAUAUUACUUAGAACACCAAUUGCGAAGGCAGGUCACUAAGAUUUAACUGACGCUGAUGGACGAAAGCGUGGGGAGCGAACAGGAUUAGAUACCCCUGUAGUCCCUGUCUCUUAUAC
Molecule: ribosomal RNA, 301 nt
Filed under: uncultured bacterium
Lineage: Bacteria
Description: partial 16S ribosomal RNA
Rfam family: Bacterial small subunit ribosomal RNA
Source: RNAcentral